GACGAACGCUGGCGGCGUGCCUAAUACAUGCAAGUAGAACGCACAGUUUAUACCGUAGCUUGCUACACCAUAGACUGUGAGUUGCGAACGGGUGAGUAACGCGUAGGUAACCUGCCUGGUAGCGGGGGAUAACUAUUGGAAACGAUAGCUAAUACCGCAUAAUAUUAAUUAUUGCAUGAUAAUUAAUUGAAAGGUGCAAUUGCACCACUACCAGAUGGACCUGCGUUGUAUUAGCUAGUAGGUGAGGUAACGGCUCACCUAGGCGACGAUACAUAGCCGACCUGAGAGGGUGAUCGGCCACACUGGGACUGAGACACGGCCCAGACUCCUACGGGAGGCAGCAGUAGGGAAUCUUCGGCAAUGGACGAAAGUCUGACCGAGCAACGCCGCGUGAGUGAAGAAGGUUUUCGGAUCGUAAAGCUCUGUUGUAAGAGAAGAACGGGUGUGAGAGUGGAAAGUUCACACUGUGACGGUAUCUUACCAUAAAGGGACGGCUAACUACGUG
RNAcentral lists this ribosomal RNA (505 nucleotides) under uncultured bacterium. Its description in RNAcentral is "partial 16S ribosomal RNA". It matches the Rfam family "Bacterial small subunit ribosomal RNA", at positions 28 to 507 of the family's 1533-position model. The record is from RNAcentral.